This 252-nucleotide ribosomal RNA is filed under the name uncultured bacterium. Its description in RNAcentral is "partial 16S ribosomal RNA". It matches the Rfam family "Bacterial small subunit ribosomal RNA", at positions 524 to 776 of the family's 1533-position model. The record is from RNAcentral.
UACGUAGGUGGCAAGCGUUGUCCGGAAUUACUGGGUGUAAAGGGAGCGUAGGCGGGAAAGCAAGUUGAAUGUUUAAGGUAUGGGCUCAACCUGUACAAGCGUUCAAAACUGUUUUUCUUGAGUGGAGUAGAGGUAAGCGGAAUUCCUAGUGUAGCGGUGAAAUGCAUAGAUAUCGCGCAGAACUCCGAUUGCGAAGGCAGCAUGCCGGCUCCACACUGACGCUGAGGCACGAAAGCGUGGGUAUCGAACAGG